UUAAAUUUUGUAAAAUUGGUUUGCCAAUUCUCUAUUUGGAAACUUGACAUAUGUGAAUAUAAAACUCUAUUUUUCAGUUUUCUUUUAAAACUCUUUAAGAAACUAUCGUAGUUUUCUACAAGUGAAUAUGCCCUUAAAAUUUCCACUCCAUUUCUCUGUCCUCCCAAUUUCCCUGCUUUUCCCAAACAUAGUAUUAAUGUAUUACUCUCCCUCCCUCCCUUUAUCCAGCCAAAUUAUAGCAGGAAAUUAUUCUGUCUGGGUUUUACGAAGCUUUUUUUUCUUGGUGCAAUUUUCAUUUGGGAGGCAUAUAUGUGGUUUGUUACUUGUUUUUAUUGGCAUCUUUAUACUCUUGAACUUCAUUGUGUGGUUUGUGUACAUCCAUGCAACUUGAAUCAUUGAAUUGCUAUCAUAAUUGCCACUGCUCGCCAAAGCCUAAACCAUGGUGUCAUUUCUAAAUUUGACUCAUUUAUUUUUCUUUCUUUCAUGUAAUGCUAACAACAGUAUCUUUUAAUUCGCAGGGUAUCAUAGAUCUGGCAUUU
Molecule: unclassified non-coding RNA, 539 nt
Filed under: Hevea brasiliensis (rubber tree)
Lineage: Eukaryota; Viridiplantae; Streptophyta; Magnoliopsida; Malpighiales; Euphorbiaceae
Source: RNAcentral